RNAcentral lists this unclassified non-coding RNA (274 nucleotides) under Hevea brasiliensis (rubber tree). Lineage: Eukaryota; Viridiplantae; Streptophyta; Magnoliopsida; Malpighiales; Euphorbiaceae. The record is from RNAcentral.
AGGACUGGUGCUCGGGGAGUCGGUCUGCAAUUCAGUUGUUAUUAAUUCAAUCAAGCCUUGGAUUGCAGCAUUUGUAAUCUGCUGGUUUCCUUUCUCGAAAUAGUAGAGGUACUUGUUCAGUAUUUCAACAAAAAGUGUGACGGGUCCACUGCUACCCCGUGUAACAUUAGCCAUCUGUUGAGCAGCAUUUGCAAUUCGUAGGGCACGCUUUAGGCAAAGAAGAACUCUCUCUCCAUCCUUAAUGCCUUCUGGAUCAUCAACCCAAAAGAGAUGU